AAGUGUGACGUCACAAACUCCGCCCACACACACGUUUCUUCCUGGUGGUUUUACGAAGGAAAAGAGAACCUUCAGCAUGCAGGAGGAUGAAGAGACACACAUCAGGAGGAGGAGGAAGAUGAUGAACUGAAGAAAGAGAAGCAGAUCAACAUGAGCAGCAUAAUAACAUGAAGAUCAGCAACAUCAGAAAUGAACAGAGAUGAUGAUCAGCUGAUGAAGACUGAAGAUCAACAUGAGCAGCAGAGAGAGCAGAGCCGUUGAACACAGUCCUGCUCUCAAAAGAAGUCGAAGCAAAGAACUAGAGCCUCCUGACUUGAGCACUGAUUCUCCUCUGAGGAUUCUUCUCCUGGGUAAAAGCGUGUCUGAGAACAGCCGUGUGGGAAACUUGAUCUUGGGCAGAUCAGCGUUUGACAGUGAAGCUCCUCCAGAUGUUGUGGAGAGAGUCGGAGGAAGACUGAAGCACAGACACGUGACGCUCAUCAACAGUCCUCAACUGCUCCACACACACAUCUCAGAUGAUCAGAUCACACAGACGGUCAGAGAGUGCGUGAGUCUGUCUGAUCCAGGACCUCAUGUGGUGCUUCUGCUCCUCCAACAUCAGCAGUGUUCAGCAGAAGAUCAAGAGCGUGUGGAGAAGCUGCAGGACUCUUUCUCUGAGCGCCUUCUUCAACACACCCUGGUGCUCAGCACACAAGAGCCCACUGAACCCAAUCAGAUCCUGCAGAAGAUCAUCCAGAAGUGCUCCAACAGACACUUCAGUCUUCAGACAAGCAGCUCUGCUGAUCAUCUUCUGCAGGCCUUUGAGGACAUCGAGCGGAGCAAUGAGGGACGACACCUGAUUACACCAGCUCCAUCUGGAGACUCACUGAGAGAACAGUUUAAUGAGAGACUGAGAGAAGAGAGGGAGAGGAUGGAGAGAGAGAAAGAAGAUCUUCAGUCUAAACAUGAAGCGGAACAAAACAAGAUGAAGAUCCAGAUAGAGGAACUGAAUAGAGAAAGAGAAGAACUGAUGAAGAAGCUCACGCAAGAGAAAGAGAGAACAAAGAAGUUGACGAUGGAGAAACAACAAAACCAGGAGAAAGAGAGAAUGAAGAUGAUGGAGGAACAACAGAUUCAGGAGAAAGAGACCAUGAAGAUGAUUAUGGAAGCACAUCAGAAUCAGCAUAAAGGGAGAAUAAAGAUGAUGGAGGAACAACACAUUCAGGAGAAAGAGCGCAUGAAGCUGAUGAUGGAAGCACAACAGAAUCAGUUUAAAGGGAGAAUGAAGAUGAUGAUGGAGGAGGAGGAACAACAGAAUCAGAAGAAAAAGAGAAUGAAGAUGAUGGAGGAACAACACAUUCAGGACAAAGAGACCAUGAAGAUGAUGGAAGCACAUAAUCUGUUUAAAGAGAGAAUAAAGAUGAUUAAGGAGGAGGAACGACAGAAUCAGAAGAAAAAGAGAAUGAAGAUGAUGGAGGAACAACAGAUUCAGGAGAAAGAGACCAUGAAGAUGGAGAAACGACAGAAUCCGGUGAAAGUGAGAAUGAGAAGAGAAGAAGAGUUCAUACAGAGAAAAGAGGGAAACGAAAUGCUUGAAAUAAUGAAAUUGGAGGGAAUUAAGAAACCGAAACCAGAGGAAAGACUGAAAAGAAGAGAAGAAAAACAGUUAUCUGAACUUUACAGGAGACACGAAAGUCCAGUUACUGGAUUCACACCAGUUUGUAUGUUAUCCUCGCUGGGAGAAAGAGGUGCUGGGAAAAGUUCAUCAGAAGAAACAUUCUUGCGUGGACCAGCAUUUGCCUCAAAGAAAAGCUCUACAUUCUCACAAGAUGCCGCUGUGGAGGCUGGAGAUUGGUUUCCAGUCCCUGUUUUUAACACACCAGGAUUAUCUGGUUCAUAUAUGACAGGAGGGGGUCAGCAGAUGAGGAAUGAAAGCUUUUCACGUCUUCAAACAAUGGCAAGUAAAGCAGAGCGAAAAAAGCCAGAACACACUCUAGUGUCCAGUCUCUCCUCCAGACGGAUUGUUCUUCUGGGUAAAUCUGGUGUUGGUAAAAGUACAGUUGGAAACACAAUCCUGGGACAGAAAAAGUUCUCAUGUCAGAUAAGGAGCCAUUCAGUAACGCGUGUUUGUUCAGCAGCUCAGGCCACAGUUUCAGGCAGAUCUGUGUCUGUAGUCGACACUCCGGGAUUCUUUCACACACAUAUGAACAACAAUGAGUUAAUGAUGGAGAUCCGCAGAAGUGUGUAUAUCUCCAGUCCUGGACCUCACGCUUUCCUCAUUGUGCUGCGUGCAAAUGACAGAUUCACUGAACUGGAGCAACAGACUCUUCAGAAGAUUGAGCUGAUGUUUGGUAAGGAUGUGUUGAAUUACUGCAUCAUUCUCUUCACUCAUGGAGAUCUGCUGGAUGGAGAAGUGUCCAUAGAGAAGCUGAUAGAGGAGAACAGUAGAUUAAGAUCUGUAGUCCAGCAGUGUGGAGGCAGAUAUCAUGUGUUCAACAACAGAGAUGAGGAGAACAGAGAGCAGGUGGAGGAUCUACUGCAGAAGAUUGACUCAAUGAUACAGCAGAAUGGAGGAGGACACUACACUAACCAGAUGUAUGAAGACGCUCAGAGAUUCAGACAAGAGCAGGAAGAGAAAAAGCUAGAGAGCAACUUGAAAGAUUGGCACAGGAGGGAGUGGACAAAAUGAAAAAAAAAAAAAAACAAACGAACAAAAACAAUAAACAGUUUUCACACAUUUCUUAAUCUCUCAAAUGAGUAACUGGAAAUGUUGCUCGGUUCUCACACUGUUCAUGGCAUUCCCAUCCUGUUGUAUUUAUAAAAAAACGACUAUCUUCACAAUUUUUAAAUCUAUGUUGCAUAAAUGUACGUACAUGUAUGACAGUUCUUACAUCAUUGAAAUCUAAACAUGAACUUGUAUUUUAAACUUGUGAUCUGCUUAUAUUGCUGUAUCUGAGAUGCAUGUGGGAUCAGGAUCAGCUGCUGCUUUCACCUUUUUUCUCGACGAGGCUGACUCUAGCUCUUUAAAUAUCAGCUUCAUAUUUGAUAAACUAUCCAUUCCACAUUAAAAUGUUAUUUGAUUGUAACUCCUCACUGCUCAGUUUUAUUGGCUGUUUUUCUUAAAGGAACCACUGGACUAAUUCCUACAGCUUGUGUCAUAACUGUUUUAUUUCUUAAUAGACAAGGUCAGUCAGUUGGCGAUUCUGUGUGGAGUUUGCAUGUUCUCCCUACGUUCGCGUCAGGCACGUGCACACAUAGGGCUAAACCUGUGCAGUGCACAUGCCCUUUUUAGUCUUGGAUAGAAAGUGCCCUUACAAAAUGAUCAAAAGUGCCCCCGCGACAUUCCAUUUUUUACAACACAACAAUUCCCAAAGUGCUGAACACAAUCAAUACUAAAUAAAGUAAAACCUACAUCACAUACAUAACAAUUAAAACAUAAGGCAAACCCCUCAACAUUAAAAAGGCUCAAAUGCUAAAGAACAAGGAUGCAGUUUCAGAAGCUUUUUAAAAAUCUGGAUUUGCUUGUUUGUUAAAUUUCAG
Non-coding RNA from Danio rerio (zebrafish), 3519 nucleotides. The record is from Ensembl. Lineage: Eukaryota; Metazoa; Chordata; Actinopteri; Cypriniformes; Danionidae.